RNAcentral lists this long non-coding RNA (778 nucleotides) under Rattus norvegicus (Norway rat). RNAcentral's name for it is "long non-coding RNA NONRATT001541". The record is from RNAcentral. Lineage: Eukaryota; Metazoa; Chordata; Mammalia; Rodentia; Muridae.
AGCAAACGGCUGGGCUCAUACGUGUAUUUUAAAAGCUUUAUGUGUGUGAUCCUGUUGCCCCUGGGCUGUUUUUUUCCUUGAGACAAGCUCUUUGCUUUCUCUGGACUUUAUUUUCUUCCUCAGGAAAGGACCAAAGAUCCCUUGAAAGGCACUUCUAAGCCCUGUACACAUACUUGAAAUCCAAGGUACUUAAGCUGAAACAGGAGGAUGGCAAAUUCAAAGGCAGCCAAGGCAACUUGAUAAAAUUCUGCCUUGAGAUGAUAAUAAUAAAUAAAUAAAUAAAUAAAUAUUUUAAGGGUCCAGGGAAUGUAACUCAGUAGGAAGACUUCCAGCCUGUGUAGGCCCUGACUGAGUUCAAGCCCCCCUCCCCCAACACACACCUAUUUCAUGCCUCAAAGCAAAUUUCUUCUAUCUAGAGUAUGUCACACUGUCUAUACCUCUGUUUCCACUGCAGGAAGUCCCUUUUCCCAUCCAUAAUUUAAUGAUCCUAGUAUCACAUAGGUAUGGCCAAUGGGGGUGGGGGUGGGCAUCCCCUCGACACGUCAUCUGGCAGCACUUGGUCUCCACUCUGGCAAGAUCAGAUUUCUGUUGGUGUCUCUGACAUGCCUAGGGACAUGUCCUGCUCAGAGGACUCACCCAGCCUGCAGCAUCACCCACGGGUAUCCACAUGACAGCAGUGUGGACUGUGUUUCAUGCUGCCCCUAGUGGUGGGCACAGGGAGUGUGCGCUCUCCCUCCAAAUCCAGUUAUCCAAUAAAAUACCCUGCAGAGACCCCUGC